Molecule: ribosomal RNA, 1433 nt
Filed under: uncultured organism
Description: SSU rRNA
Rfam family: Bacterial small subunit ribosomal RNA
Source: RNAcentral
GCUUAACACAUGCAAGUCGAGGGGCAUCAGGAAGAAAGCUUGCUUUCUUUGCUGGCGACCGGCGCACGGGUGAGUAACACGUAUCCAACCUGCCCUUUACUCGGGGAUAGCCUUUCGAAAGAAAGAUUAAUACCCGAUAGCAUAAUGAUUCCGCAUGGUUUCAUUAUUAAAGGAUUCCGGUAAAGGAUGGGGAUGCGUUCCAUUAGGUUGUUGGUGAGGUAACGGCUCACCAAGCCUUCGAUGGAUAGGGGUUCUGAGAGGAAGGUCCCCCACAUUGGAACUGAGACACGGUCCAAACUCCUACGGGAGGCAGUAGUGAGGAAUAUUGGUCAAUGGGCGCUAGCCUGAACCAGCCAAGUAGCGUGAAGGAUGAAGGCUCUAUGGGUCGUAAACUUCUUUUAUAUAAGAAUAAAGUGCAGUAUGUAUACUGUUUUGUAUGUAUUAUAUGAAUAAGGAUCGGCUAACUCCGUGCCAGCAGCCGCGGUAAUACGGAGGAUCCGAGCGUUAUCCGGAUUUAUUGGGUUUAAAGGGAGCGUAGGUGGACUGGUAAGUCAGUUGUGAAAGUUUGCGGCUCAACCGUAAAAUUGCAGUUGAUACUGUCAGUCUUGAGUACAGUAGAGGUGGGCGGAAUUCGUGGUGUAGCGGUGAAAUGCUUAGAUAUCACGAAGAACUCCGAUUGCGAAGGCAGCUCACUGGACUGCAACUGACACUGAUGCUCGAAAGUGUGGGUAUCAAACAGGAUUAGAUACCCUGGUAGUCCACACAGUAAACGAUGAAUACUCGCUGUUUGCGAUAUACAGUAAGCGGCCAAGCGAAAGCAUUAAGUAUUCCACCUGGGGAGUACGCCGGCAACGGUGAAACUCAAAGGAAUUGACGGGGGCCCGCACAAGCGGAGGAACAUGUGGUUUAAUUCGAUGAUACGCGAGGAACCUUACCCGGGCUUAAAUUGCAGUGGAAUGAUGUGGAAACAUGUCAGUGAGCAAUCACCGCUGUGAAGGUGCUGCAUGGUUGUCGUCAGCUCGUGCCGUGAGGUGUCGGCUUAAGUGCCAUAACGAGCGCAACCCUUAUCUUCAGUUACUAACAGGUCAUGCUGAGGACUCUGGAGAGACUGCCGUCGUAAGAUGUGAGGAAGGUGGGGAUGACGUCAAAUCAGCACGGCCCUUACGUCCGGGGCUACACACGUGUUACAAUGGGGGGUACAGAAGGCAGCUAGCGGGUGACCGUAUGCUAAUCCCAAAAGCCUCUCUCAGUUCGGAUCGAAGUCUGCAACCCGACUUCGUGAAGCUGGAUUCGCUAGUAAUCGCGCAUCAGCCACGGCGCGGUGAAUACGUUCCCGGGCCUUGUACACACCGCCCGUCAAGCCAUGGGAGCCGGGGGUACCUGAAGUACGUAACCACGAGGAUCGUCCUAGGGUAAAACUGGUGACUGGGGCC